Molecule: long non-coding RNA, 709 nt
Organism: Lucilia cuprina (Australian sheep blowfly)
Lineage: Eukaryota; Metazoa; Arthropoda; Insecta; Diptera; Calliphoridae
Exons: 3
Source: RefSeq, a predicted model, not a curated record
AAAAUCUUUUGUUUAAUGUGUAUUAUAAGCAAAUAAAGUGUUUUAAUUAGUGAUUAUUAAGUAAACAAUAUUUUAAUAAUAAUAAAAAAAUACAAUUUAAAUUGGAAAAAAUAUUUAUAAAACGAAAUAAACUACAAGUAGUUUCUACUAUCAGUUACCCAAAAAAAAGCACUAUUUCUGAUCCCGGGUAAUUAGCAACAUUGCUAGACGUAAUUUCUAACAUUUACCAUUAAGGUUUUGUAAAAACAAACCGUCACAUGAUAAAUCUAAAAGAAUUAUAACUCUAACUAAGAGUAGAAUUAUACCUUGGAAACAGCAGUUUUCUAAAGCUGAUUAGUGAACAACAACAACAGCAACUACAAGAAAAGCAAAGCAACAACUAACGAAAUUAAAAGAAAAACUCCUCCUAACAACAAAACCAAAAAAAGCAAAGAAACGGGCAAAUAUGAAGAUAUUUUAAAGAAUUAAAAAAAGGAGCAGUAAAACAUCCUACUAAACAACAUCAAAAACGAAUUAACAAACAUUUGCUACUACUCACAUAUACAACAACAAAAACAACAAUAACUGAAGAGAAAUUUGUUUGCAACAAACACUUUGUUAUUUUGUUUUGUUUAUUUUUUGAUAAAAAAAGAACUUAACGUUAAAAGGGAAUUUAUUAAUUAAAAUUCUUAGGCAAUUAAUUGCUGACAAAAUACUUUUUUUAAAGGAA